UUGCGCAGCGCUGCUAAAAACUCACUCGGAAAUACAGGCUGUCACGGCCGUCGUUGUGUCGCACAUAGCCGCCACAGAGGUGCAAGGCGCAUAGUUUUCGUUCUCGACUGCUCUUCGCAGCGUAAGUGCACCCUGUAGGUUUUUUCCUGUUCUCGUUUUGUGCUUCGCUCGAAACCCUACAAGACAUGCCGCCAAAACGCUGGGCGAGGCCGAACCAGAAGGGCGCAAAUGGCGAGAACGCCUACACGACCGCCGCGCUGCUACAGUUUAUAUGCGAUGAGGUCCGCAGCAAUAAUUGCCUCGGCCUGUCGGAGGAGGAGCUAACUGGGAUGGCAGCCGAGCUGGUGCACGUAAAGACGCGUGCAGAGGUGUCGGAGUGGGCCAAAACGCUGAUGCUGUCAGACGCCUUUGCUGCGGAGGUGACUAAGCGGCGAGAGCAGUCGGGCCCAGCCUUUGAGGCUGAGAGUGUCUUGAACGCGCCGUCGAGCUCGACCGCAUCGGCCGGUGGAGGUGAAGGUGGUACGCUCAACGUAACGAAGCGCGGCGCCGGAGGUGCGAAGCGAGGCAAGCGCGGCGCCAAUGCCGAUCAGAACCCCAAGACAAGCGCAUCCGCCGAGGCACUGAAGCCGGGCCGCUUUGAGUGCGGGUGCUUUGCCACUGUCCACAACCUGCGUGGAAGCUGCGCUAACUGCGGCCGGGUCAUCUGCGAGCAGGAGGCGGACGACGUGUGCUACGCCUGUGGACUGGAGCCGUCCCGAUGCAUCGCGUACGAGAUCUCGGUCCAGGAGGGCAAGCUGAGCGAGGCGGCCCAGCAGCGUAAUGAGGAGGACUAUACAUCAGCGGUGGAGCGGCGCGACCGCUUACUGGAGUACGCGCAGAAUCGCGCGAAGCGAACUACCGUUAUCGACGACCAGUCAGCGACGCUGUUCUCGCCGCAGAGUGCGUGGAUGUCGCCAGAGGAGCGCCGAGCGGCCGAGAAGUCUGCCGCGGAAACGGAGCGGCAGCGCAACAUCGAGCUCAUGCACCGCCAGUGCGGCGCCUAUCAGGUACAUAUGGAGUUUGUGUCGCAGAACCUGGCGCUGGGGGCGCGCAAGGAGAAUUCCGGCGGAGCGGGCGGAGACGGAGCCGUCACGGAGGCUGGUGCGGAGGACGAGGAGCCUCACGAUGCGGGCCAAAGAGUUGUGCCCACCGGCGCAGAGCCGCUUCCGUCGCUGCUGCAGAAAAUCUGGUACAGCCCCGACGGCACGCGAGUCGAGUCGGCUCCUAGUGGCAAAAAGGACAAGCGCGGAGGUGGGCGCUGUGGCAAUGCUGUGGACUUAAACUUGCCAGCUCAAGAGGGGUCCUCAAUGCCUAUGACAUCGCGACCAACGCAGCGCCGCUUCGAGGAGGUAUCUCGACGAGUGCAGCAGAGCUAUUUUGAAGAAGAUGUGGAGGUUUUUGCUGAGGAGAAGGAGGAGGCCGAAAGAACAAAGUCGAAGCUCAUUGUUGUGUCUCAGGCGCUGAUUGAGGACGAUCAAGACGCGGCGAUCGAGCACGGCACGGAAGCCGCCGGUGGCUCCACCAGCCCGCCGCUCGUGGAUCCAUCUGCUGUGGCGUUGCCCUCUCGCUUCGCCGUGACAUCCAUUAUGCGCAACACGGAUGAUGGCAUUUGUUUGUCCAUGCACCAGCCGUGGGCGAGCCUGCUCGUGGCCGGUAUAAAGCGACACGAAGGCCGCGUGUGGGGGACCACGUAUCGCGGUCGUCUGUGGAUUCACGCGGCCGCGUCGCAGCCGACAAACGUGGAGGAGGUGGAGGCACAGUACUCAAAGUUUAUGCCGCCAGGCCAGGUGUUCCCGAAGCACUAUCCUACCAAAGUACUGCUUGGGUACGUCUAUGUGACGGACUGCCUCGAUCGAGAGGCGUACGAGAUUGCAUUCAAGCCGGAGGAACGCCAAGAGGAGUCUCCGUACUCUUUUAUUUGUGUGGAGCCAAAGGCGCUACUUUUUCCGCUGCCCAUGUGCGGCAAUCACAAGCUGUUCUCUCUCGAGCACCGUGUACACGUUGCUGCGCGGAAGCAACUGGGCGAGAUAGAUUGAGGCUGCACACAAGGGGAUGGAGGUGGCAUGAGACGGGCGACCUGUGCGAGGUGUGGCGCACUUGUUGUGGGACCGCAGGCCCUCGUCUUUGGCGUUUUCCACAUAGUGGCCCGUGGCGGCUUUUUGUUUUGGUGAUGUGUGGGACCUGCACGGCGGGUGCCAGUGCCGCGUUUUUUUACCUUGUUGUAUUUCAAUUCAGGUGACAUCGCAGGCCGGCAGCUUCUGUCUCGCAUGCACCCCCACCCCUCCUUCUCCCAUUGCCGCGCUCAGCUAGUG
This 2351-nucleotide unclassified non-coding RNA is filed under the name Leishmania donovani. RNAcentral describes it as "gene:LdHU3.08.0090(CDS-product:Putative_zinc_fing er_motif_C2HC5-type/ASCH_domain_containing_protein_putative )". The record is from RNAcentral. Lineage: Eukaryota; Euglenozoa; Kinetoplastea; Trypanosomatida; Trypanosomatidae.